Molecule: ribosomal RNA, 333 nt
Filed under: uncultured bacterium
Lineage: Bacteria
Description: bacterial SSU rRNA
Rfam family: Bacterial small subunit ribosomal RNA
Source: RNAcentral
UGUGUAGGCGGUUGCGCAAGUCUGGUGUGAAAUCUUCACCGCUUAACGGGAAGAGGUCACUGGAAACUGCGUAACUCGAGUAUGGUAGAGGCAAGCGGAAUUCCUGGUGUAGCGGUGGAAUGUGUAGAUAUCAGGAAGAACACCGGUGGCGAAGGCGGCUUGCUGGGCCAUCACUGACGCUGAGACACGAAAGCGUGGGGAGCAAACGGGAUUAGAUACCCCGGUAGUCCACGCUGUAAACGGUGCGCACUAGGUGUGGGAGGUAUCGACCCCUCCUGUGCCGAAGCAAACGCAUUAAAUGCGCCGCCUGGGGAGUACGGCCGCAAGGUUGAA